Molecule: unclassified non-coding RNA, 345 nt
Filed under: soil metagenome
Description: partial contains 5.8S ribosomal RNA, internal transcribed spacer 2, and large subunit ribosomal RNA
Rfam family: 5.8S ribosomal RNA (bases 1-119)
Source: RNAcentral
GAUGAAGAACGUAGCGAAAUGCGAUACGUAAUGUGAAUUGCAAAUUCAGUGAAUCAUCGAGUCUUUGAACGCACAUUGCGCCCCCUGGUAUUCCGGAGGGCAUGCCUGUCCGAGCGUCAUUGCUGCCCUCAAGCACGGCUUGUGUGUUGGGCCCCGUCCUCCGAUCCCGGGGGACGGGCCCGAAAGGCAGCGGCGGCACCGCGUCCGGUCCUCGAGCGUAUGGGGCUUUGUCACCCGCUCUGUAGGCCCGGCCGGCGCUUGCCGAUCAACCCAAAUUUUUAUCCAGGUUGACCUCGGAUCAGGUAGGGAUACCCGCUGAACUUAAGCAUAUCAAUAAGCGGAGGA